RNAcentral lists this transfer-messenger RNA (317 nucleotides) under Acidobacteria bacterium RBG_16_64_8. It matches the Rfam family "transfer-messenger RNA". Rfam says of the family: Bacterial tmRNA, also known as 10Sa RNA or SsrA, is named for its dual tRNA and mRNA-like properties. Its role is to liberate the mRNA from a stalled ribosome. Lineage: Bacteria; Pseudomonadati; Acidobacteriota. The record is from RNAcentral.
GGGCCUGAACUAGAUUCGACACGGAGGCUGAGAGCGAAGCUGCGAGCCGGAGUUGGUCAGGUACUCCGCAAAAACCCGACCAAGACACAAACGCCAACGACGACAAUGUCCCGGCGCAGAUGCUCCGCGCGGCCUGAGCCCGCGAAGCCCGUUCAGCGGCGAGGUUCCCCAGUAGCCGCUGGACGUCGACACAGGGGAUGCAGUAGAAGCACUGCGGUAGAAGCAGGAUGCACGAUGCCGGACGCAAACCGGACACGCUCGUAGACGCAACGCCCAAGGAUUCGUGGACCCGGGUGCGAUACCCGGCAGGUCCAUUG